This 525-nucleotide ribosomal RNA is filed under the name uncultured haloarchaeon. RNAcentral's name for it is "bacterial SSU rRNA". It matches the Rfam family "Archaeal small subunit ribosomal RNA", at positions 1 to 526 of the family's 1478-position model. The record is from RNAcentral. Lineage: Archaea; Methanobacteriati; Methanobacteriota; Halobacteria; Halobacteriales; Halobacteriaceae.
AUUCCGGUUGAUCCUGCCGGAGGCCAUUGCUAUCGGAGUCCGAUUUAGCCAUGCUAGUCGUGCGAGUUCAGACUCGCGGCACCGAGCUCAGUAACACGUGGCCAAACUACCCUACAGAGACGGAUACCCUCGGGAAACUGAGGUUAACCCGUCAUACCGAUCUCAGGCUUGAAUCGCAGAGAUCACAAAAUGCCCCGGCGCUGUAGGAUGUGGCUGCGGUUGAUUAGGUAGACGGUGGGGUAACGGCCCACCGUGCCCAUAAUCAGUACAGGUUGUGAGAGCAAGAACCUGGAGACGGAAUCUGAGACAAGAUUCCGGGCCCUACGGGGCGCAGCAGGCGCGAAACCUUUACACUGCACGCACGUGCGAUAAGGGGACUCCGAGUGCGAGGGCAUAUCGUCCUCGCUUUCGUGUACCGUAGGGUGGUACACCAACAAGGGCUGGGCAAGACCGGUGCCAGCCGCCGCGGUAAUACCGGCAGCCCGAGUGAUGGCCGAUCUUAUUGGGCCUAAAGCGUCCGUAGCU